RNAcentral lists this ribosomal RNA (423 nucleotides) under uncultured bacterium. Its description in RNAcentral is "bacterial SSU rRNA". It matches the Rfam family "Bacterial small subunit ribosomal RNA", at positions 207 to 622 of the family's 1533-position model. The record is from RNAcentral.
AAGACCUUGCGCUUUUGGAGCGGCCGAUGCCUGAUUAGCUUGUUGGUAAGGUAAAAGCUUACCAAGGCUUCGAUCAGUAGCUGGUCUGAGAGGACGACCAGCCACACUGGGACUGAGACACGGCCCAGACUCCUACGGGAGGCAGCAGUGGGGAAUUUUGGACAAUGGGGGCAACCCUGAUCCAGCCAUGCCGCGUGAGUGAAGAAGGCCUUCGGGUUGUAAAGCUCUUUCAGCCGGAACGAAACGGUUACGGUUAACACCCGUGACUACUGACGGUACCGGAAGAAGAAGCACCGGCUAACUACGUGCCGGCAGCCGCGGUAAUACGUAGGGUGCGAGCGUUAAUCGGAAUUACUGGGCGUAAAGCGUGCGCAGGUGGUUUUGUAAGUCAGAUGUGAAGGCCCCGGGCUCAACCUGGGAACU